GACGAACGCUGGCGGCGCGCCUAACACAUGCAAGUCGAACGAGAGAGAGGGAGCUUGCUUCCUCGAUCGAGUGGCGAACGGGUGAGUAACGCGUGAGGAACCUGCCUCAAAGAGGGGGACAACAGUUGGAAACGACUGCUAAUACCGCAUAAGCCCACGACCCGGCAUCGGGAAGAGGGAAAAGGAGCAAUCCGCUUUGAGAUGGCCUCGCGUCCGAUUAGCUAGUUGGUGAGGUAACGGCCCACCAAGGCGACGAUCGGUAGCCGGACUGAGAGGUUGAACGGCCACAUUGGGACUGAGACACGGCCCAGACUCCUACGGGAGGCAGCAGUGGGGAAUAUUGCACAAUGGGGGAAACCCUGAUGCAGCGACGCCGCGUGGAGGAAGAAGGUCUUCGGAUUGUAAACUCCUGU
Molecule: ribosomal RNA, 413 nt
Filed under: uncultured bacterium
Lineage: Bacteria
Description: bacterial SSU rRNA
Rfam family: Bacterial small subunit ribosomal RNA
Source: RNAcentral